UGGGGAAUAUUGCACAAUGGGCGAAAGCCUGACGCAGCGACGCCGCGUGAGGGAUGACGGCCUUCGGGUUGUAAACCUCUUUCAGCAGGGACGAAGCGCAAGUGACGGUACCUGCAGAAGAAGCACCGGCUAACUACGUGCCAGCAGCCGCGGUAAUACGUAGGGUGCAAGCGUUGUCCGGAAUUACUGGGCGUAAAGAGUUCGUAGGCGGUUUGUCGCGUCGUUUGUGAAAACCAGCAGCUCAACUGCUGGCUUGCAGGCGAUACGGGCAGACUUGAGUACUGCAGGGGAGACUGGAAUUCCUGGUGUAGCGGUGAAAUGCGCAGAUAUCAGGAGGAACACCGGUGGCGAAGGCGGGUCUCUGGGCAGUAACUGACGCUGAGGAACGAAAGCGUGGGUAGCGAACAGG
This 409-nucleotide ribosomal RNA is filed under the name bacterium. RNAcentral describes it as "partial 16S ribosomal RNA". It matches the Rfam family "Bacterial small subunit ribosomal RNA", at positions 355 to 776 of the family's 1533-position model. The record is from RNAcentral.